This 324-nucleotide ribosomal RNA is filed under the name uncultured bacterium. RNAcentral describes it as "bacterial SSU rRNA". It matches the Rfam family "Bacterial small subunit ribosomal RNA", at positions 28 to 334 of the family's 1533-position model. The record is from RNAcentral.
GAUGAACGCUGGCGGCGUGCCUAACACAUGCAAGUCGAGCGAAGCACUUUGAUUUGAUUCUUCGGAUGAAGAUUUUUGUGACUGAGCGGCGGACGGGUGAGUAACGCGUGGGCAACCUGCCUUACACAGGGGGAUAACAGUCAGAAAUGACUGCUAAUACCGCAUAAGACCGCAGGAUCGCAUGGUCCGGUGGUAAAAACUCCGGUGGUGUAAGAUGGGCCCGCGUCUGAUUAGGUGGUUGGCGGGGUAACGGCCCACCAAGCCGACGAUCAGUAGCCGACCUGAGAGGGUGACCGGCCACAUUGGGACUGAGACACGGCCCAG